UACGUAGGGCGCGAGCGUUGUCCGGAAUCACUGGGCGUAAAGGGUGCGUAGGUGGCGCGGUAAGUCGGGUGUGAAAUCUCGGAGCUUAACUCCGAAAUUGCAUUCGAUACUGCCGUGCUCGAGGACUGGAGAGGAGACUGGAAUUCAUGGUGUAGCAGUGAAAUGCGUAGAGAUCAUGAGGAAGACCAGUGGCGAAGGCGGGUCUCUGGACAGUUCCUGACACUGAGGCACGAAGGCCAGGGGAGCAAACGGG
RNAcentral lists this ribosomal RNA (253 nucleotides) under uncultured bacterium. RNAcentral's name for it is "partial 16S ribosomal RNA". It matches the Rfam family "Bacterial small subunit ribosomal RNA", at positions 524 to 776 of the family's 1533-position model. The record is from RNAcentral.